RNAcentral lists this ribosomal RNA (253 nucleotides) under uncultured bacterium. RNAcentral describes it as "partial 16S ribosomal RNA". It matches the Rfam family "Bacterial small subunit ribosomal RNA", at positions 524 to 776 of the family's 1533-position model. The record is from RNAcentral.
UACGAAGGGGGCUAGCGUUGCUCUGAAUCACUGGGCGUAAAGCGCACGUAGGCGGAUUCUUAAGUCAGGGGUGAAAUCCUGGAGCUCAACUCCAGAACUGCCUUUGAUACUGAGGGUCUUGAGUUCGGGAGAGGUGAGUGGAACUGCGAGUGUAGAGGUGAAAUUCGUAGAUAUUCGCAAGAACACCAGUGGCGAAGGCGGCUCACUGGCCCGAUACUGACGCUGAGGUGCGAAAGCGUGGGGAGCAAACAGG